Non-coding RNA from Podarcis muralis (Common wall lizard), 350 nucleotides. The record is from RefSeq and is a predicted model, not a curated record. NCBI's taxonomy places the organism in Eukaryota, Metazoa, Chordata, Lepidosauria, Squamata, Lacertidae.
CUAGAACAUCCAUACAAAUAAGUUUACUAUAGAUCGCCACAGUGGUGUCCUUCGCAUCAAAACCGGGAUCACUCUUGACUAUGAAAAAUCCAGAACUUAUUUUGUUACUGUGGUGGCAAAGGAUGGCGGCGGCAAGCUCCGUGGCAACAACAAGGUGUUCUCAGCCACAACCACUGUCACAAUCAAUGUGGAAGAUGUUCAGGACACACCUCCGAUGUUUGUCGGCACUCCCUACUAUGGAUAUGUCUAUGAGGACACUCUGGCCGGUUCUGAGGUAAUAACGGUCGUUGCUAUUGAUGGGGACCGAGGGAAGCCUAAUGACAUUCAUUACCGUCUUUUGAAUGGUAAGU